CGUAGGUGGCGAGCGUUGUCCGGAAUUAUUGGGCGUAAAGGGCGCGUAGGCGGCUCUUUAAGUCAGAUGUGAAAACCCCAGGGCUUAACUCUGGGAGUGCAUUUGAAACUGAAGAGCUCGAGUGCAGGAGAGGUAAGUGGAAUUCCUAGUGUAGCGGUGAAAUGCGUAGAUAUUAGGAGGAACACCAGUGGCGAAGGCGACUUACUGGACUGUAACUGACGCUGAGGCGCGAAAGCGUGGGGAGCAAACAGGAUUAGAUACCCUGGUAGUCCACGCUGUAAACGAUGGAUACUAGGUGUGGGAGGUAUCGACCCCUUCCGUGCCGCAGUUAACGCAAUAAGUAUCCCGCCUGGGGAGUACGGCCGCAAGGUUG
Molecule: ribosomal RNA, 373 nt
Filed under: uncultured organism
Description: bacterial SSU rRNA
Rfam family: Bacterial small subunit ribosomal RNA
Source: RNAcentral